Molecule: long non-coding RNA, 351 nt
Filed under: Cucumis sativus (cucumber)
Lineage: Eukaryota; Viridiplantae; Streptophyta; Magnoliopsida; Cucurbitales; Cucurbitaceae
Description: long non-coding RNA (CSAT_LNC000279)
Source: RNAcentral
ACAACCGAUCCUAUAUUCUUAAACACUACAUCCCCUUUUUCUUUCACUCUCGAUAAACUUGACGAUUACUUUUUCAUCUGCACCAUCCCCGGCCACUGCUCCGCCGGCCAGAAAUUGGCCAUCACCAACCUCCAACAAUCGCCCCCACCUACCUCUCCCAGUACUCCUCCCGUUCCCGGUAACGAGCCAACACCAACACCACCUGCCUCCCCUGAUUCUCCACCCAUUUCGAAUGAAAUGCCACCGCCCGUCCCAGUUAUUGCUGCUCCGCCGCCACCAAACUCCGCCACCAGUAUUGUGGGCUCUAUAUUCACUGUUGCCUUCGUCUCCAUCGCUGUCAGCUUCAUAAUA